CCCGCCCGCCGCGGCCGUUGCAUAACCCGGGCAUGCGCGGGAGCGCGGCGGAAGCGAGUGGCGGGGAAGGGGAGGGGGCCGGAGGCGGGGAGCGGCGGGGGAACCGGGGCAGGGGUCUCCCGGAUCGGCCCGGCCCGGUCCUGGCCCCGCGCUGCUGGCCAGCGGCGCUCCAUCAGCCCCGCGGCCGCCGUGGCGGACGGCGCUCGGGAGAGCGGCUCCCCGGGCACCUGUUGCUCGGGGGUGUUGGGCCGUGCAAGGGCGGCAGAGGAGGUCCCACAGCGCUUCGGUUCCGCCCGGGGAGCCGGGGGUCUCCCGGGCCGGUGCCGCGCCCGGCCUGGCCACAGCUCCUCCGGUGAAGGUGACCGGCUGGCCUGGCCUCUCCCGGCUGAGCGUUUGCUGCUGCUGGAAGGAAACUAGUCCAGAGCAUGUGCCACCAGGAGCCUGGCUGCCAGCAUCCUUGGAGUCAGGGCAGCACAGCAGAACUGAGCACUGCCAGCUCGUGCCCAGCCACACACACAACCCUCCCUCCCCAACGAGAAGAGAGAGGAAAAGCAGAAGGGGAACAAGGUACUUCCAGAACUUAUUUAAUAUAAACUAAAAGUUUGGCCAGACAAGAAGACAAUAGAAAAUAAGUUAAAUUUAUGGAAAAACAAAAUUACUGUGGAAAGCAGGUAGAUUAAGCUAGACUUAAAGAGCAAUUAAUCAAAGACACAAGGCAAACAAAGUGGUUUUUUCAUCCACCAGCAGCAGAAAGCAUGCAGGAUUCAUCAAUCUUCUACUUCAACACUGAGACACGUGUUCCAGAGUUCCCAGAUGUUGGUUGUGUAAGGGAAGGGUUAAUAGCAGUUGGUAUUAAAGUCAGUGACUCAUUAUCCAACCUGAACAGAGGCGAAUUAGGAGUGGCUCCCUCAAAGGAAGGAACUGAACAGUCAUUAGGAAGAACUAACGAAUAACCAUGUCAGAGCAAGAGCAGAGAUGAAUGUUAUCAGUUUAGUCUUGGUUCCUCUGUUAAGGAAGGUCAGUCCCACAGCAAGAUGAGCAUGGACACAGCCUGUGGAACAGACUAGCCACUGGGACCUGAAAGCCUGGUGUAUCUUGCUGUGGACCUGCUGCCCCAGAAGUUCCCUGUUCUUGCUGCUGUAGAAGAGCUCCCAGCCUUCUACACUGCCAGGUCUACAAGUGGCUGUGGGCUCACCCUGCAGGCAAGUGCUUUUCUGCAUUGCUACUUCAGCACUCACAGUUCUAGGCAUGCAGGUCACUUAGUCGAAAAAAGUUGCAAAAAUAAAAGAAAUUGAAGAAAAAAUGUUGAGGUUUAAAAAAGUGUUGGGGAUAAAGUCUGUCACUUAUUGCAAUCGUGCUCUGAUUUUGUAUCAUUGUAUUUUCUACCACCUGUGACAUCCCUUUCUUGUCUCUUACGUUGCUGCAAUUAAACUAUACACCAUCACACAACAUUCAUAGAAGGAGGUUUUUCAUGUUCAGAUAUCUCCACAAAAUAUCAACAAGAACCAUCUUGCUUGAGCAAUAACUUUUUUCAAAUCUCUGUGAUACUUCGGAUGGAACAUUUUUCUCUUAGGACAAAGAUGUGCAUGUAGAAGGCACACGCUGAGUUUAUUUAUAUAAAUAAAUACUUAAAACAUUUAUUGGUCUCUGCAUCAGCUCUCUAGGGACCACCAAUUCAAAGAAAAGAUGAUUCAAAAGGUAGCAUACUUUACUAGAGCCACUGCUAUGCUCAAACUCAAAAUUUCUGAUUGUCCAUAGAGGCCAACCCUUGAGGGGUUUGGCCCUGGACAUAUGUGGGGUAAAUGAUGGUGUUGCUCCAGCAAAGUUUUAGGGCAAGAACAUGACUGGCAGCGAGUCCUCUGAGUGCCUGGGAGAAGCAGGCUGGAGGAGGAGGAGGGGGCAAUGACGCUGGCUGAAAGAAUUCCUCCUUUCAGAGAACAAGCAGUGCUUUCACAGCAGUGGAUGCUCAGCCACAGCACACACUACACAGAUUACAUCGGGGCCAUUUGCUGCCUUUGAUUAGUUUUAAGAAACAAAAGCAUGAAAAUUUUAAGUUCUAAACUUGAAUUUUCAAGAGAAAAAGCAUAAAUAAUAAGGGCAUUAUGGAGCAGGCAGUGGGAGCUGGUGGGGAGCGGUAGCACUGCAGCUUCAAAAACCUGGAACAGUAGUGUGCUGUUCCUGUGGCAGUUGUGUGAGACAUACAAAAAGUGAUAUUCAAAGCCUAUCCUACUGCAGUUUUUGCAGGACCAUUAAUAUGAUGAUGAAAAGAUACUAGUAGAAUGCUGCAUAAUAAUAUGAUGAAAAGAUACUAAUAGAAUGCUGCAGGUUGAUAUUAUAACAGAUAAGAUGCGCUUGCCAGUGGUAUGGCGAGAGCAUAUCUGAGCUAAAAUACAUCUACUGUGGCCAUUUCAGAAGAGCAACUAUUUACACUCCCAACACUUUAAAAACGCAUCAUUUUUGUUGGCAUUUAUGAAAUUAACACAAGUAUCUCAGGCAUGAAAGAAACAGAUUUAGCUUCCUAAAUGUGGGUAGGGCUGCCUGGUUUGGGAAUACCAUCCAUGCCAGACCUUCGCUUUCAGUCUGCUACAGCAGCUGAAUUCUUCAUCUUGCCCAAGUGCACAGCAGCACGGUCUGCCAGCGUGCCACACGUAGAUGUGGAUCACUUUGUUCUUUGUCUUACCAUGGUCUGCCCGUAUUUCACCCCUGCAGUUCUUGCUACAGAGUCUGAAAAGGAAGUAUAAAAAUCCCCCUAAAUUUAUUUGAAUUGCAAAGUAUAAAGUUCUGGUGCUGUGCCUGCUUGAAUCAGCACACAGGAUGAAAUGAGGUCCAUAAAUCCAGUGUUUUCAAAGUAGUAGCCUGGACACAAGGGAUACUUUGUGCUGUUGCCUUUCCUGUCGCAUAAUGGCUCUGCCAUGUCCAUCCCAGAGGCACAGCCACCACUCCU
Long non-coding RNA from Zonotrichia leucophrys gambelii, 2944 nucleotides. RefSeq lists it as uncharacterized. The transcript is spliced from 3 exons. The record is from RefSeq and is a predicted model, not a curated record. Lineage: Eukaryota; Metazoa; Chordata; Aves; Passeriformes; Passerellidae.